Molecule: ribosomal RNA, 251 nt
Filed under: uncultured prokaryote
Description: partial 16S ribosomal RNA
Rfam family: Bacterial small subunit ribosomal RNA
Source: RNAcentral
ACGUAGGUGGCAAGCGUUAUCCGGAUUUACUGGGCGUAAAGGGUCCGUAGGUGGUUGGGAGGGUCUGGUGUGAAAGCGCUCGGCUUAACUGGGCGAGGACAAUGAAGACUGGUCAGCUAGAGGACGGUAGAGGGGUGUGGAAUUCCGGGUGUAGUGGUGAAAUGCGUAGAGAUCCGGAGGAACACCAGAGGCGAAGGCGACACCCUGGGCCGUACCUGACGCUAAGACGCGACAGCACGGGGAGCGAACGG